GCGCAUGUGCUGUGAGCUCGAUGAGUAGGGCGGGACACGUGGUAUCCUGUCUGAAUAUGGGGGGACCAUCCUCCAAGGCUAAAUACUCCUGACUGACCGAUAGUGAACCAGUACCGUGAGGGAAAGGCGAAAAGAACCCCGGCGAGGGGAGUGAAAAAGAACCUGAAACCGUGUACGUACAAGCAGUGGGAGCACCCUUUGGGGUGUGACUGCGUACCUUUUGUAUAAUGGGUCAGCGACUUAUAUUCUGUAGCAAGGUUAACCGAAUAGGGGAGCCGGAGGGAAACCGAGUCUUAAUUGGGCGUUAAGUUGCAGGGUAUAGACCCGAAACCCGGUGAUCUAGCCAUGGGCAGGUUGAAGGUUGGGUAACACUAACUGGAGGACCGAACCGACUAAUGUUGAAAAAUUAGCGGAUGACCUGUGGCUGGGGGUGAAAGGCCAAUCAAACCGGGAGAUAGCUGGUUCUCCCCGAAAGCUAUUUAGGUAGCGCCUCGUGAAUUCAUCUCCGGGGGUAGAGCACUGUUUCGGCUAGGGGGCCAUCCCGGCUUACCAACCCGAUGCAAACUGCGAAUACCGGAGAAUGUUAUCACGGGAGACACACGGCGGGUGCUAACGUCCGUCGUGAAGAGGGAAACAACCCAGACCGCCAGCUAAGGUCCCAAAGUCAUGGUUAAGUGGGAAACGAUGUGGGAAGGCCCAGACAGCCAGGAUGUUGGCUUAGAAGCAGCCAUCAUUUAAAGAAAGCGUAAUAGCUCACUGGUCGAGUCGGCCUGCGCGGAAGAUGUAACGGGGCUAAACCAUGCACCGAAGCUGCGGCAGCGACGCUGAUGCGUUGUUGGGUAGGGGAGCGUUCUGUAAGCCUGCGAAGGUGGCCUGUGAGGGUUGCUGGAGGUAUCAGAAGUGCGAAUGCUGACAUAAGUAACGAUAAAGCGGGUGAAAAGCCCGCUCGCCGGAAGACCAAGGGUUCCUGUCCAACGUUAAUCGGGGCAGGGUGAGUCGACCCCUAAGGCGAGGCCGAAAGGCGUAGUCGAUGGGAAACGGGUUAAUAUUCCCGUACUUGGUGUUACUGCGAAGGGGGGACGGAGAAGGCUAUGUUGGCCGGGCGACGGUU
RNAcentral lists this ribosomal RNA (1111 nucleotides) under Salmonella enterica subsp. enterica serovar Montevideo. RNAcentral's name for it is "partial 23S ribosomal RNA". It matches the Rfam family "Bacterial large subunit ribosomal RNA", at positions 388 to 1503 of the family's 2925-position model. The record is from RNAcentral. Lineage: Bacteria; Pseudomonadati; Pseudomonadota; Gammaproteobacteria; Enterobacterales; Enterobacteriaceae.